CAAUAGCGUAUAUUAAAGUUGUUGCGGUUAAAAAGCUCGUAGUUGGAUUUCUGCUGAGAACGACCGGUCCGCCCUCUGGGUGUGUAUCUGGCUCUUUCUUGGCAUCUUCUUGGUGAACGUUGCUGCACUUGACUGUGUGGAGCGCUACCCAGGACUUUUACUUUGAGGAAAUUAGAGUGUUUCAAGCAGGCAUACGCCUUGAAUACAUUAGCAUGGAAUAAUAAGAUAGGACCUCGGUUCUAUUUUGUUGGUUUCUAGAGCUGAGGUAAUGAUUAAUAGGGAUAGUUGGGGGCAUUCGUAUUUAACUGUCAGAGAUGAAAUUCUUGGAUUUGUUAAAGACGGACUACUGCGAAAGCAUUUGCCAAGGAUGUUUNCAUUGA
This 380-nucleotide ribosomal RNA is filed under the name uncultured eukaryote. RNAcentral describes it as "partial 18S ribosomal RNA". It matches the Rfam family "Eukaryotic small subunit ribosomal RNA", at positions 592 to 976 of the family's 1831-position model. The record is from RNAcentral.